Molecule: non-coding RNA, 27 nt
Filed under: Rattus norvegicus (Norway rat)
Lineage: Eukaryota; Metazoa; Chordata; Mammalia; Rodentia; Muridae
Source: RNAcentral
UAGUGCUAUUUACUGCUCUUCCAGGCC